Molecule: small RNA, 29 nt
Filed under: Bombyx mori (domestic silkworm)
Lineage: Eukaryota; Metazoa; Arthropoda; Insecta; Lepidoptera; Bombycidae
Description: ovarian small RNA-28234
Source: RNAcentral
UCGAAGUGGUGUCCGGAGGGCGACCCCUU